This 468-nucleotide ribosomal RNA is filed under the name uncultured bacterium. RNAcentral's name for it is "partial 16S ribosomal RNA". It matches the Rfam family "Bacterial small subunit ribosomal RNA", at positions 29 to 507 of the family's 1533-position model. The record is from RNAcentral.
UACGAACGCUGGCGGCGUGCUUAACACAUGCAAGUCGAACGGAAAGGCCCUGCUUUUGUGGGGUGCUCGAGUGGCGAACGGGUGAGUAACACGUGAGUAACCUGCCCUUGACUUUGGGAUAACUUCAGGAAACUGGGGCUAAUACCGGAUAGGAGCUCCUGCUGCAUGGUGGGGGUUGGAAAGUUUCGGCGGUUGGGGAUGGACUCGCGGCUUAUCAGCUUGUUGGUGGGGUAGUGGCUUACCCAGGCUUUGACGGGUAGCCGGCCUGAGAGGGUGACCGGCCACAUUGGGACUGAGAUACGGCCCAGACUCCUACGGGAGGCAGCAGUGGGGAAUAUUGCACAAUGGGAGGAAGCCUGAUGCAGCAACGCCGCGUGCGGGAUGACGGCCUUCGGGUUGUAAACCGCUUUCGCCUGUGACGAAGCGUGAGUGACGGUAAUGGGUAAAGAAGCACCGGCUAACUACGUG